AUGCAAUUCGACGCCCCUUCGGGGCGGCGGCGGACGGGUAGUAAGCGUGGGAACGUGCCCUUUCUACGGAUAGCCAUCGGAAGUCAGUAAACCGUAUACGCCCUUCGGGGGAAGAUUAUCGGAGAUGGAUCGGCCCGCGUUAGAUAGAUAGUUGGUGGGGUAACGGCCUACCAAGUCUACGAUCUAUAGCUGGUUUUAGAGGAUGAUCAGCAACACUCGGGACUGAGACACGGCCCAGACUCCUACGGGAGGCAGCAGUGGGGAAUCUUAGACAAUGGGCGCAAGCCUGAUCUAGCCAUGCCGCGUGUGUGAUGAAGGCCCUAGGGUCGUAAAGCACUUUUCGCCAGGGAUGAUAAUGACAGUACCUGGUAAAGAAACCCCGGCUAACUUCCGUGCCAGCAGCCGCGGUAAUACGGAGGGGGCUAGCGUUUAUUCGGAUUUUACUGGGGCGUAAAGCGCGUGUAGGCGGUCUAUAAAGUCAGAAUGUGAAAGCCCAGGGCUCAACCCUUGGAACUUGCAUUUCGAAACUCAUAGACUAGAGUAUGUUAGGGGAUAGUGGAAAUUUCCAUUGUGUAGAGGUGAAAUUUCGUAGAUAUAUGGAGGAACACCAGUGGCGAAAGGCGACUAUCUGGGACAUUUACUGACGCUAAGACGCGAAAGCGUGGGGAGCAAACGGGAUUAGAUACCCCGGGUAGUCCACGCCGUAAAC
RNAcentral lists this ribosomal RNA (709 nucleotides) under uncultured bacterium. RNAcentral describes it as "bacterial SSU rRNA". It matches the Rfam family "Bacterial small subunit ribosomal RNA", at positions 55 to 807 of the family's 1533-position model. The record is from RNAcentral.